GAUCCUGGCUCAGGACGAACGCUGGCGGCGUGCCUAAUACAUGCAAGUAGAACGCUGAGGGAGGAGCUUGCUUCUCUGGAUGAGUUGCGAACGGGUGAGUAACGCGUGGGUAACCUGCCUGGUAGCGGGGGAUAACUAUUGGAAACGAUAGCUAAUACCGCAUAAGAGUAGAUGUUGCAUGACAUUUACUUAAAAGGUGCAAUUGCAUCACUACCAGAUGGACCUGCGUUG
Molecule: ribosomal RNA, 231 nt
Filed under: uncultured bacterium
Lineage: Bacteria
Description: partial 16S ribosomal RNA
Rfam family: Bacterial small subunit ribosomal RNA
Source: RNAcentral